This 253-nucleotide ribosomal RNA is filed under the name uncultured bacterium. RNAcentral's name for it is "partial 16S ribosomal RNA". It matches the Rfam family "Bacterial small subunit ribosomal RNA", at positions 524 to 776 of the family's 1533-position model. The record is from RNAcentral.
UACGGAGGGUCCAAGCGUUAUCCGGAAUCAUUGGGCUUAAAGGGUCCGUAGGCGGUUUUUUACGUCAGUGGUGAAAGCCCAUCGCUCAACGGUGGAACGGCCAUUGAUACUGCAAGACUUGAAUUAUUGGGAAGUAACUAGAAUAUGUAGUGUAGCGGUGAAAUGCUUAGAGAUUACAUGGAAUACCAAUUGCGAAGGCAGGUUACUACCAAUAUAUUGACGCUGAUGGACGAAAGCGUGGGGAGCGAACAGG